Kogia breviceps (pygmy sperm whale) is the source of this 2085-nucleotide non-coding RNA. The record is from RefSeq and is a predicted model, not a curated record. NCBI's taxonomy places the organism in Eukaryota, Metazoa, Chordata, Mammalia, Artiodactyla, Physeteridae.
UGCGGCGUCGCGUGAGGGGGGCGGAGGGUGCGCCUGCCAGGAGCCACCACCAGAUGAGGCGGGCGGGUUACAAAACUUCACAGGGUUUCCUGGGGACAGGUAGGACGUAUUGGUCCCGCCGAUCCAUUGUUCGCCUUCCUAGAAAUCUGACCUCGGGCCACAAUUGGAUAGAAGAAAAAGCAAUGCGUUCAGGAACUUUACUUCCCAAAGAUUGCAAAUAACCCAAGUGUUCAGCAGGAGGAGAGGCGAGAGUAUGUGAAUUACAACUAUCUCUGUUUACCAGACACUGGGAAUGCACUUUUCAUUCAGUAUCUCAUUUUGUCCUCGAAACAGACCUAGCAGAUUUGUUAUCUUACAGUUCUGGAGGUCAGAAGUCUGAAAUGAGUCUACUAGGUGAAGAUCAAGGUGUUGGCAUGGCUGCAUUUCUUCGGGACGCUCUGUGGAAGAAUGUUUACUUGCCGUUUCCAGGUUCUCAAAGUCAUUAAUGAAUGAGAUCCUUGGAUCUGCAUUUACUGCUCCAUCUGAUCCCACGACUGCACCUGAAUGGCGUUCUGUGUGUCUCUGGACGUCAAGCACAUACCAGAUGGAAGAUAUCAAGAGAAACAGCUGUUAUAUAUUUAGUAUUAUUAUAAUAUUAUAUAUUUUAUGUAUGUUAAUAUAUUUCACCCAUAAAGUAUCAUCCUUUCACUCCUAACCUUUCAACUUGCUUGUAUAACUUAAAAAUAAUGUUUACUGUUUCUUCUGGAUUAUAAUAAUUUUAUUGUUGAAAAGCUGGAAAGUAUAGGCUGGUAAGAGAAAAUAAAAAUCACCCAUAAUUCCACCAUAUACAGAUAAGUACUGUUAACCUUUUAAUCUAUUUGUCUAACCCUUUUUUCAGUGAAUAAAAAGAUAUGUAUUUUUUAAACUGGGAUUAUAAAAUACACACACUUUUGUAUCCUGCUUUCUUUACUUAACAUGAAAUCAAUAGCAGUUCCUAUGCCAUUGGAAAGUCAUAAAUAUGUUUAGUUCAUAAUGGCUGUACCAUUUCAUUUUAUUGCCAAAUCACUGCCAAGAGAGGGGAACAUUUUCAUUUUUAUAAAUCUAUAUUGUACCCCAUCACUUUUUGGAACUUUCUGAUCCGCAUUAGUAGUUUCAUACUCUAUUCUCUUGGGUUUUCUAGGAAAGGACUCAUGUCACCUGUGAGUAGCAACAGCGUAACAAUUCUGAUUACAGGCACACCUCAGAGAUAAGCGGGUGCAGUUCUAUACCACUGCAAUAAAGUGAGUCACAUGAAUUUUUUGGUUUCCCAGUGCAUAUAAAAGUUAUGUUUAUAUUGUACUGCAGUCUAUUAAGUGUGCAACAGUAUUAUGUCUAGAAGGACAAUGUACAUACCUUAUUUAAAAAGUACUUUAUUGCUAAAAAAAUGCUAACCAUCAUCUGAGCCCUCAGGGAGUUGUCAUCUUUUUGCGGUAGUAACAUCAAAGAUCACUGAUCACAGAUCACCAUAACAAAUAUAAUAAUAAUGAAAAAGUUUGAAAUAUUGUGAGAAUUACAAAAAUGUGGCAGAGACAUGAAAUGAGCAAAUGCUGUUGGAAAAAUGGCACUGAGAGAUUUGCUCAAUGCAGGGUUGCCACAAACCUUCAGUUUGUAAGUAAUGCAAUACCUGCGAGACGCAAUAAAGUACUCAGGAAGCAUUAAGAGCCUGGGCUCCAGACUCAGAUUCGGAUUUCACUCCUGGCUUUGCCUAUUCCUAGCUGUGUGAUUUUGCCUCACAAGUUACUAAACCUCUCUGAAACCCAGUUUCCUGAUGAAAAGAGCUUGUUCAUGGGACUGCUGUGAAGAAAUUGGAAAUGACUCAUAUAAAUACCUUAGUAUGGUGCCUGGCACAGAAGAAAUGCUCAACAACUGUUAGUUAAUUUUUGUUUUUGUUGUGAUUAUUAUUAGAUGCCAGUCUAGUAAAUUCUAAAAGAGAUUUUGGUAGUUUAACUUCCCCACUUCAACAGAAAUUUAAUUUUCAAUUUUCUGAAAACAGUAAAUACUUUUGAAUCACAUCCUGGUACGUAAAUGUUUUCCUGGGUGACAGAAAUCUGAAAAGGAAUGUCCUUC